CCCGCCCGUACCCCAAACCGACACAGGUGGUCAGGUAGAGAAUACUAAGGCGAUCGAGAUAACUAUGGUUAAGGAACUCGGCAAAAUGCCCCCGUAACUUCGGGAGAAGGGGGGCCCGUUCUGGUGAGGAGAUUUACUCUCCGAGCUGGGAUUGGCCGCAGAGACCAGGCCCAAGCGACUGUUUACUAAAAACACAGGUCCAUGCUAAGUCGCAAGACGCUGUAUAUGGACUGACGCCUGCCCGGUGCUGGAACGUUAAGGGGACGGGUUAGCGACUUCGGUCGCGAAGCUCAGAACUUAAGCGCCAGUAAACGGCGGUGGUAACUAUAACCAUCCUAAGGUAGCGAAAUUCCUUGUCGGGUAAGUUCCGACCUGCACGAAUGGCGUAACGACUUGGGCGCUGUCUCAACCGUAGACUCGGCGAAAUUGCACUACGAGUAAAGAUGCUCGUUACGCGCGGCAGGACGGAAAGACCCCGGGACCUUUACUACAGCUUGGUAUUGGUGGUCGAUUCGAUUUGUGUAGGAUAGGUGGGAGACUGUGAACUUCGGACGCCAGUUCGAAGGGAGUCAUCGUUGAAAUACCACUCUGAUCGUAUUGGCUGUCUAACCUAGAUCCGUAAUCCGGAUCAGGGACAGUGCCUGGUGGGUAGUUUAACUGGGGCGGUUGCCUCCUAAAAUGUAACGGAGGCGCUCAAAGGUUCCCUCAGCCUGGUUGGCAAUCAGGUAUCGAGUGUAAGUGCACAAGGGAGCUUGACUGUGAGACUGACGGGUCGAGCAGGGACGAAAGUCGGAACCAGUGAUCCGGCGCUGGCAAGUGGAAGCGGCGUCGCUCAACGGAUAAAAGGUACCCCGGGGAUAACAGGCUGAUCUUGCCCAAGAGUCCAUAUCGACGGCAUGGUUUGGCACCUCGAUGUCGGCUCGUCGCAUCCUGGGGCUGGAGUAGGUCCCAAGGGUUGGGCUGUUCGCCCAUUAAAGCGGCACGCGAGCUGGGUUUAGAACGUCGUGAGACAGUUCGGUCCCUAUCCGCCGCGCGCGUAAGAGUCUUGAGAAGAUCUGUCCCUAGUACGAGAGGACCGGGAUGGACGAACCUCUGGUGUGUCAGUUGUCCUGCCAAGGGCACUGCUGAUUAGCUACGUUCGGAAGAGAUAACCGCUGAAGGCAUCUAAGCGGGAAACUCGCUUCAAGAUGAGGGCUCUCACAGGGUUAACCUGGUAAGGCCCCCAGUAGACCACUGGGUUGAUAGGCCGGAAGUGGAAGUGCGGUAACGCAUGCAGCUGACCGGUACUAAUAGGCCGAGGACUUGACCUA
Molecule: ribosomal RNA, 1310 nt
Filed under: metagenome
Description: bacterial LSU rRNA
Rfam family: Bacterial large subunit ribosomal RNA
Source: RNAcentral